GGAGGCAGAGCUAUUCUUUUCCCAUUGAGUUCUCAGGGGCUUCUCAGAAUGCAGGCAUCGCCCCCUAGCGUGCAGAACUUUUAAUGUUAUCACAUUAAUUCUAAGCAGUCAUUCCAAGAGGAGGGAAGAGACUGCUCCAGGGAGUCAGAAGUCUAUGAAUUCAGAGAUCUUUUAAACAUCAGGGCAGAUGUGAGUUCACAGAAGCUACCAUGACUCCUUCUUUCCAACUCAGAGGUUGGAAGGCUUGGAAAUCUCUUUUUAUACAGGGGAAAGAAGAAUUUUGGAGCAAAUCCUGAAUACAGGACCAGGAUUUGCUGGCCUUCAAUGGAGUCCCAGGAGGCUCUGAUCUCCCACCAUCAGCAAAAAAAGAUUGGUGCCUGGAGUACUGUAGAAAUUUACCAUUUUCCAAAAGACAAUUGUGCUUGCAGGCCUGCAUUAAGUCCUGAAAAUUUUACUGGCGUGUUACCAGGAUCUGUAUAAAAUCGUCCUGCCUCUGAGUCCAGAGACAAGCACACCAUGUUCUCUGAGACCUCAUCAUCAGUCAUUAACCUUGUACUUACCCUCAGUUGUUUUCCCUUCUCCAAUAAAUUUCCCAGCAGAAAACAA
This is a long non-coding RNA of Mesocricetus auratus (golden hamster), 606 nucleotides long. RefSeq lists it as uncharacterized. The record is from RefSeq and is a predicted model, not a curated record. NCBI's taxonomy places the organism in Eukaryota, Metazoa, Chordata, Mammalia, Rodentia, Cricetidae. The transcript is spliced from 2 exons.